Callithrix jacchus (white-tufted-ear marmoset) is the source of this 107-nucleotide small nuclear RNA. NCBI's taxonomy places the organism in Eukaryota, Metazoa, Chordata, Mammalia, Primates, Cebidae. The record is from Ensembl.
GUGCUCACCAUGGCAGCACAUACACUGUCAUUGGAGUGAUAUAGAGAAGAUGAGCCUGGGGGCUGUGCAGGGGUGAUGUGCAAAUUCGUGAAGCCUUCCAUACUUUU